This 297-nucleotide long non-coding RNA is filed under the name Populus tremula. RNAcentral's name for it is "long non-coding RNA (PTRE_LNC001838)". The record is from RNAcentral. Lineage: Eukaryota; Viridiplantae; Streptophyta; Magnoliopsida; Malpighiales; Salicaceae.
UAAUUAGCUUCUCUUCCCGAUUGGGUCCGUCUAGUUCGAAGAUCUUCGAAAGAAUUUCCGUAUGGUGGUCUAUAACAUGUAUCAUAUAAUUGCUUGUAUACUAUUAGCUAGAGUCUGUAGUUUAUGCGUGUGUAAUCUGCAAAAUUAGCCUAGACCCGAAUAUUAGCUAGAGUCUGUAGUUUAUAUGUGUGUAAUCUGCAAAAUUAGCCUAGACCCGAGGCUCUCUUUUCUCCACUCCUUUUGGUGCACGUAAGGGUGAAGAAGAUGCUAAAAUCAAUAAACAGAUGGACCGUUUUG